AUGCACUGUGGGGACAUUCCCAGCCCCUGCUGUCCCCAGCCCUCCUGCAGCACAGGCAGGGCUGAUCCUGAGUGCAGCAGUGCCACAGAGGAUGCACUGUGGGGACAUUCCCAGCCCCUCCUGCCCUGCCCCUCUCCCUCCUCCUCCUCCCGAGUGCCCUCAGAGUCUGAGCCCAGGCUGGGCUGUGACCCCCCCAGGCUCAGCCAAGCCCCCCCAGCCCCUGUGCCCCUGCCAGCUGUGGCCCGUGGGCUCAGCAGGGCAUGGCCAGCAGCCCUGGCCUUGCCUGGCCCACGCGUGCCCAGGGCAGAGCUUUGUGAGCUCCUCUGCCCUGGGGCCGGGUGUCCCCUGUGCCCUGGGUGGUGCCAGAAGUGUCCCCACGUGGCCCACGGGCUCUGCAGGCACCAGUGGCAGCAGCCCUUGCACAAACCCACCCAGCUCUGGCUGCCUGGGAAGGGGCCCCUGACUGAACAGGGUGCCAGAGCCAUGCUGAGCACAGAGCAGGGCAGGAGCACUGGCAGGGAACAGCAGGAGCCACAGCAGGAUGCAGGGCCAGAGCUGCCAGCACCAGGGCAGCGUGUCCAGACAUGGCAUCAGGCUGGCAAGCCUGUCUGUGUCUGCAUGCAAUGGGAAGGGAGCACACAGGGCCCCAGGAAAUGGCACCCAAGAGGUGCAAAAGCAUCGCUGAGCCCCAAAGCAGAGCCACCAAGCCCCAAAAAAUCCCCGGGCCUGAGUGACUGCCAGCAGUGCAGGCAGUCCUGGAGGGGCACUGCCCUGGGCCCUUCCCCAGGAGAAGAAACCCUUUGGUGUGGGAGCCAGGACAGGCCGGGCCAUACAGGACUCAUGGGCCCUGUGUCCUAAGCAGUCUGAGCACAUCCUGGGCACAAUUCUCCCCUCUUGGUGCUUUGGGUUCUUCCCCCAGAGGGUGUUUGGGCACUGGAACAGCUCCCCAGGGAAUGGGGACGGCCCCAAGGCUGCCACGACCCCAGGAGUGUAUGGACAAUGCUCUCAGGGAUGCACAGGGUGGGAUUAUUGGGGUGUCUGCGUAGGGCCAGGAGCUGGACUCGAUGAUCAUCAUUGAAUCCCUUCCAACUCAGGAUAUUCUGUGAUUGACUAUAUGAGUUUUAUCUAGCCGGGCCAUACAGGACUCAUGGGCCCUGUGUCCUAAGCAGUCUGAGCACAUCCUGGGCACAAUUCUCCCCUCUUGGUGCUUUGGGUUCUUCCCCCAGA
RNAcentral lists this long non-coding RNA (1227 nucleotides) under Ficedula albicollis (Collared flycatcher). RNAcentral describes it as "lncRNA (ENSFALG00000022983.1)". Lineage: Eukaryota; Metazoa; Chordata; Aves; Passeriformes; Muscicapidae. The record is from RNAcentral.